RNAcentral lists this ribosomal RNA (253 nucleotides) under uncultured bacterium. Its description in RNAcentral is "partial 16S ribosomal RNA". It matches the Rfam family "Bacterial small subunit ribosomal RNA", at positions 524 to 776 of the family's 1533-position model. The record is from RNAcentral.
UACGAAGGGGGCUAGCGUUGCUCGGAAUCACUGGGCGUAAAGCGCACGUAGGCGGCUUGUUAAGUCAGGGGUGAAAUCCUGGAGCUCAACUCCAGAACUGCCUUUGAUACUGGCGAUCUCGAGUCCGGGAGAGGUGAGUGGAACUGCGAGUGUAGAGGUGAAAUUCGUAGAUAUUCGCAAGAACACCAGUGGCGAAGGCGGCUCGCUGGCCCGGUACUGACGCUGAGGUGCGAAAGCGUGGGGAGCAAACAGG